CAGUAGCCGCGGGAAUACAGAGGGUGCAAGCGUUAAUCGGAAUUACUGGGCGUAAAGCGCGCGUAGGUGGUUUGUUAAGUUGGAUGUGAAAUCCUUGGGCUCAACCUGGGAACUGCAUCCAAAACUGGCAAGCUAGAGUAUGGUAGAGGGUGGUGGAAUUUCCUGUGUAGCGGUGAAAUGCGUAGAUAUAGGAAGGAACACCAGUGGCGAAGGCGACCACCUGGACUGAUACUGACACUGAGGUGCGAAAGCGUGGGGAGCAAACAGGAUUAGAUACCCGAGUAGUCCCUGUCUCUUAUAC
This 301-nucleotide ribosomal RNA is filed under the name uncultured bacterium. Its description in RNAcentral is "partial 16S ribosomal RNA". It matches the Rfam family "Bacterial small subunit ribosomal RNA", at positions 509 to 807 of the family's 1533-position model. The record is from RNAcentral.